ACAGGAUUAGAUACCCUGGUAGUCCACGCUGUAAACGAUGAUCACUCGUUGUUGUCGAUAUAGUGUCAGCGACUGAGCGAAAGCAUUAAGUGAUCCACUUGGGGAGUACGAUCGCAAGAUUGAAACUCAAAGGAAUUGACGGGGGCCCGCACAAGCGGAGGAACAUGUGGUUUAAUUCGAUGAUACGCGAGGAACCUUACCUGGGCUUAAAUGUAGAACGACGGAUCGGGAAACUGAUCCUUCUUCGGACGGUCUGCAAGGUGCUGCAUGGCUGUCGUCAGCUCGUGCCGUGAGGUGUCGGGUUAAGUCCCAUAACGAGCGCAACCCUCAUCAUUAGUUGCCAGCGGGUAAUGCCGGGGACUCUAAUGAAACUGCCGGUCGCCCACCGAGAGGAAGGUGGGGAUGACGUCAAGUCAGCACGGCCCUUAUGUCCAGGGCUACACACGUGUUACAAUGGUCGAUACAAAGGGCAGCUACCUGGUAACAGGAUGCUAAUCUCUAAAAUCGGUCUCAGUUCGGAUCGAAGUCUGCAACUCGACUUCGUAAAGCUGGAUUCGCUAGUAAUCGCGCAUCAUCCACGGCGCGGUGAAUACGUUCCCGGGCAUUGACACACCGCCCGUCAAGCC
RNAcentral lists this ribosomal RNA (626 nucleotides) under uncultured organism. Its description in RNAcentral is "bacterial SSU rRNA". It matches the Rfam family "Bacterial small subunit ribosomal RNA", at positions 772 to 1403 of the family's 1533-position model. The record is from RNAcentral.